AUGUUAAACUACAAUGGCACGGAGUAUCUGGGAUCUACGACAUUCGGUAAAGCAAUUCAAGCUCAUGACCUGCAUACAGGUGUGGAUGUUUGUAUUAAAAUUAUAAAGAACAACAAGGAUUUCUUUGAUCAAAGCCUUGAUGAGAUCAAACUCCUCAAGUAUGUCAAUAAGCAUGAUCCCGGAGACAAGUAUCACAUUUUGCGGUUAUAUGAUUACUUCUACUAUAGAGAACAUUUGUUAAUAGUAUGUGAGUUACUCAAGGCCAACUUAUAUGAGUUUCAUAAAUUCAACAGAGAAUCAGGAGGGAUAUUUACUUUACAAUGCUAA
Vicia faba (fava bean) is the source of this 327-nucleotide non-coding RNA. NCBI's taxonomy places the organism in Eukaryota, Viridiplantae, Streptophyta, Magnoliopsida, Fabales, Fabaceae. The record is from the annotation of a GenBank genome assembly.